RNAcentral lists this ribosomal RNA (813 nucleotides) under Triticum aestivum (bread wheat). Its description in RNAcentral is "partial small subunit ribosomal RNA". Lineage: Eukaryota; Viridiplantae; Streptophyta; Magnoliopsida; Poales; Poaceae. The record is from RNAcentral.
AUGGAUGAUAUUGUGGUGAAAUCCAGAAAGGAGGAGACAUUGAUAGAUGACUUGAAGGAGACCUUUGAUAACCUCCGGGUUUAUAAAAUGAUGCUUAAUCCGGCCAAGUGUGUCUUUGGUGUUCCGACAGGCAAACUCUUGGGCUUUCUGGUGUCUAACAGGGGCAUUGAAGCUAACCCGGAGAAAAUCAAGGCUAUAACUUCUUUGGCUAAACCGAAGUGUAUCAAUGAUGUUCAAUGCCUGGCAGGUCGGAUUGCAGCCUUGAGCCGGUUUAUCAGUCGCCUUGGGGAGAAGGCCAUCCCUUUAUAUCAGAUGCUGAAGAAGACGGAUGACUUCGUCUGGAGUGAUGCCGCCAAUAAAGCGUUUGAGGACUUGAAGCGGCAGCUGGCCGAGCCGCCGGUCCUUGCUGCUCCUGUUGAUAAAGAACCCUUGUUGUUAUAUGUGGCUGCUAAUGCCCGGGCUGUUAGCAUGGCUAUUGUGGUGGAACGCAAGGAGGCCGGAAAGGAGUAUCCGGUUCAACGGCCGGUUUAUUAUAUCAGUGAGGUACUUAUUGAGUCCAAGCAGAGGUACCCACAUUGGCAGAAGCUGGUGUACGGAGUUUUUAUGGCGAGCCGGAAGCUUAAGCAAUAUUUCCAGGGCCAUCCUAUCACUGUGGUCAGUUCUGCUCCUUUGGGGGAUAUAAUCCAGAACAGGGAAGCAACUGGCCGGGUUGCCAAGUGGGCUAUUGAGCUUGGGCCUCACGGGUUAAAAUAUAUGCCCCGGACGGCGGUCAAAUCUCAGUGUGACACGGGCGUUUCAGCGUUGGUGCUAUGA